GCUGGGGCAAAUGAAAGGAACUACCUUAUUAGAAACAUAAAGGCUAGUGACUGUAUCUUGGCCAGUGUUCCCAUUUUUCCAGUAAGCUGUCUGCUGUACGGAGGUGUAUAACCCUAAUGGCUUGUUGUAUGCCAUUAAAAGAUCUUCAGUUGUUGAGCUGGUGUGUGAUGUAUUAAAUACGUUAUCUAUAAAGAUGGAUGGUUCAGCUGAAAGAGCAUGGUACUGAUAUGGAGAGAUACUAGGAAAAGGCAAUGUUAAUACAGUGCGUUAUCUGCAAAGGCAAUGUACAAAGGGAAGAAGCAGAAGAGAUUGCAUAUGUGUAUGAUGAGAGUCAAGAUGCUCAUCAUAAUGGCUUCCCAGUUGUCCUCCAGGUGCUUGAGUUUUGUCCAAGAUUUGCUUCCCUGGCAGUUUGAAAAGUGACAAUGAAACUGAUCCAGAGGUGUGGAUUAUAACCCCAUUGUGCAGGACAUGCUGAAGCUGGUUCUGAGGUAGUGGUGACAGUACGAUGCGGUGCGGAACUACAAGCUCAAGCCCUUGGAGCACUGCAGCUCUGUCAGCUCGACUGCAACCCAGGCUGUCAGCCGAUGAAUGCAUUGGGAGCCUUGUCUGCUCGACUGCUGCAAGGAAUUAGUUUUGUGGGCUGGUGAGGAGCUUGGUUUUCUGGUUUUAGUUGAGCACAUUUUGGUAUUUUAAAACAUUAUCUCAGACAGAGAACUGAAGUCAAACACAAAAGGCACCAGCGAUUUUUUCCCUGUCUCAAUUAUCAGUUUAUCCUUUUUACCUAUAGAAGGGAUGGAUUUAUUGUAGGGUAACCAGGUAAAUAUAGAAGGUUGUCUGCUGGACUGGGGUUAAGCUGACAGCUGUAAUUGCCUACUUUGGAAAAAUGCUGCUUUUCUUCAGAAAGUGCCUCCCAGACCUUAUUUAGAGAUUUGCUUAAUUUGGGCUGUCCUAUGGGUUAACAUCUGUGGAAUCUGUAUUUCUCUGGCAGUUGUGUCUCCCUUGGAUGUAAAUUACAGAUGCUAACCAAUGCCCUUUCCUUUUUUUCUUUAAGAGGAAAAAAAAAAAAAAACACAUUUAAAAUAAGCAAAUAAAGAGCUCCCACUGAAGAGUUAUGCUAAAAGA
Molecule: long non-coding RNA, 1122 nt
Filed under: Anas platyrhynchos platyrhynchos (common mallard)
Lineage: Eukaryota; Metazoa; Chordata; Aves; Anseriformes; Anatidae
Description: lncRNA (ENSAPLG00000020515.1)
Source: RNAcentral